Ribosomal RNA from Pteropus vampyrus (large flying fox), 132 nucleotides. The record is from Ensembl. NCBI's taxonomy places the organism in Eukaryota, Metazoa, Chordata, Mammalia, Chiroptera, Pteropodidae.
GUGUACAGCUGAAUCUCCCAGAGAAAACACUGCACAUGAAUUAGUGCGUUGUCAAUCUUGGAAGUUAAACGGAGUCAGGCCUGGUUAGUACUUGGAUAGAAGAUCACCUAGGAAGACCAGGUGCUGUAGGAG